This 1101-nucleotide ribosomal RNA is filed under the name Stenotrophomonas maltophilia. Its description in RNAcentral is "bacterial SSU rRNA". It matches the Rfam family "Bacterial small subunit ribosomal RNA", at positions 42 to 1100 of the family's 1533-position model. The record is from RNAcentral. Lineage: Bacteria; Pseudomonadati; Pseudomonadota; Gammaproteobacteria; Lysobacterales; Lysobacteraceae.
GUAGCUAACACAUGCAGUCGAACGGCAGCACAGAGGAGCUUGCUCCUUGGGUGGCGAGUGGCGGACGGGUGAGGAAUACAUCGGAAUCUACUCUGUCGUGGGGGAUAACGUAGGGAAACUUACGCUAAUACCGCAUACGACCUACGGGUGAAAGCAGGGGAUCUUCGGACCUUGCGCGAUUGAAUGAGCCGAUGUCGGAUUAGCUAGUUGGCGGGGUAAAGGCCCACCAAGGCGACGAUCCGUAGCUGGUCUGAGAGGAUGAUCAGCCACACUGGAACUGAGACACGGUCCAGACUCCUACGGGAGGCAGCAGUGGGGAAUAUUGGACAAUGGGCGCAAGCCUGAUCCAGCCAUACCGCGUGGGUGAAGAAGGCCUUCGGGUUGUAAAGCCCUUUUGUUGGGAAAGAAAUCCAGCCGGCUAAUACCUGGUUGGGAUGACGGUACCCAAAGAAUAAGCACCGGCUAACUUCGUGCCAGCAGCCGCGGUAAUACGAAGGGUGCAAGCGUUACUCGGAAUUACUGGGCGUAAAGCGUGCGUAGGUGGUCGUUUAAGUCCGUUGUGAAAGCCCUGGGCUCAACCUGGGAACUGCAGUGGAUACUGGGCGACUAGAGUGUGGUAGAGGGUAGCGGAAUUCCUGGUGUACCAGUGAAAUGCGUAAAGAUCAGGAGGAACAUCCCUGGCGAAGCAGCUACCUGGACCCACACUGACACUGAGGCACAAAAGCGUGGGGAGCAAACAGGAUUACAUACCCUGGGGAUCCACGCCCUAAACGAUCCGAACUGGAUGUUGUGGUGCAAUUUUGCCCCGCAGUAUCCAAGCUACGCGUUAAGUUCGUCCGCCUGGGGGAGUACGGUCGCAGACUGAAUUUCUUACGAGUGGAAGGGGGGCCCGCACCAUCGCUGAGUAUGUGCCUUGAAUUUCAUGCGAUAGCGAGGAGCCUACUGACUUGACAUGUCGGACAUUUCUUAGAUGGAUUGUGUCGUCGGGACUCGAAACAAAGCUGCAUGAGUGGUCGACUGCUGUCUGGAAGGUGAGUGUAUACCAGCGAGGCAAUCAUGACCUAGGCAGACGGGAUGGGAGCCUGAAUCACGUCAGUCGCA